AUUGAACGCUGGCGGCAUGCUUUACACAUGCAAGUCGAGCGGCAGCGCGGGGGGCAACCCUGGCGGCGAGCGGCGAACGGGUGAGUAAUGCAUCGGAACGUACCCUGGAGUGGGGGAUAACGCCGCGAAAGCGGCGCUAAUACCGCAUAUGCUCUGAGGAGGAAAGUGGGGGACCGCAAGGCCUCACGCUCUGGGAGCGGCCGAUGUCCGAUUAGCUAGUUGGUGAGGUAAAGGCUUACCAAGGCGACGAUCGGUAGCUGGUCUGAGAGGAUGAUCAGCCACACUGGGACUGAGACACGGCCCAGACUCCUACGGGAGGCAGCAGUGGGGAAUUUUGGACAAUGGGGGCAACCCUGAUCCAGCCAUGCCGCGUGAGUG
Molecule: ribosomal RNA, 378 nt
Filed under: uncultured bacterium
Lineage: Bacteria
Description: bacterial SSU rRNA
Rfam family: Bacterial small subunit ribosomal RNA
Source: RNAcentral